RNAcentral lists this ribosomal RNA (494 nucleotides) under uncultured bacterium. RNAcentral describes it as "partial 16S ribosomal RNA". It matches the Rfam family "Bacterial small subunit ribosomal RNA", at positions 28 to 507 of the family's 1533-position model. The record is from RNAcentral.
GACGAACGCUGGCGGCGUGCUUAACACAUGCAAGUCGAACGGAAAGGCCUGCUUUCCCUUGUGGAUUGCGGGUACUCGAGUGGCGAACGGGUGAGUAACACGUGAGUGAUCUGCCCCCAACUUGGGUAUAAGCCUGGGAAACUGGGUCUAAUUCCCGAUAGGACUGCAGGGUGGUGCCUGUGGUGGAAAACGAUUUUCUAGUGGUUGGGGAUGAGCUCGCGGCCUAUCAGCUUGUUGGUGGGGUAAUGUCCUACCAAGGCGGCGACGGGUAGCCGGCCUGAGAGGGUGGACGGCCACAUUGGGACUGAGAUACGGCCCAGACUCCUACGGGAGGCAGCAGUGGGGAAUAUUGCACAAUGGGCGGAAGCCUGAUGCAGCGACGCCGCGUGGGGGAUGACGGCCUUCGGGUUGUAAACUCCUUUCGACCGCGAGGAAGCCACCUGGUUGGAAGGGUGGUGACGGUAGUGGCAGAAGAAGCACCGGCUAACUACGUG